GGUAAACGCUGGCGGCGUGCCUAAAACAUGCAAGUCGAACGCAUCACGCAAGUGGUGAGUGGCAGACGGCUGAGUAACGCGUGGGUGACCUGCCCGCUUGUGGGGAAUAACUGCCCGAAAGGGUGGCUAAUACCGCAUACGUCCCCCGAUUCGUGUCGGGGGGGAAAGUCGUAAGACGCAAGCAGAGGGGCCCGCGUUCGAUUAGCUGGUUGGUGGGGUAACGGCCUACCAAGGCGACGAUCGAUAGCUGGUCUCAGAGGAUGAUCAGCCAGACUGG
This 277-nucleotide ribosomal RNA is filed under the name uncultured bacterium. RNAcentral describes it as "partial 16S ribosomal RNA". It matches the Rfam family "Bacterial small subunit ribosomal RNA", at positions 28 to 316 of the family's 1533-position model. The record is from RNAcentral.